This is a long non-coding RNA of Sarcophilus harrisii (Tasmanian devil), 5788 nucleotides long. RefSeq lists it as uncharacterized. The transcript has 2 exons. The record is from RefSeq and is a predicted model, not a curated record. NCBI's taxonomy places the organism in Eukaryota, Metazoa, Chordata, Mammalia, Dasyuromorphia, Dasyuridae.
CACAGGGACAUACGCACAUAGACACACGCACAUCAGCACACGCACAUCGGCACAUACGCACAUCGCCACGCACCAGACAGCCAGACAUACGCACAUCGCCCCAGACACACGCAGACAUCCGCAUGCAGACAUCCGCACCCAGACGCAGACCCCCAGACAGCCGCAUCCAGACCUACGCACUUCGCCAUCGCCACCCAGAGUCCUGCGCACAUCAGACUACGCAGCUCGCCAUCCGCACCCAGACACACACUCAGCCAGACACACACACGCAGCCACCUACGCAGCCACAUACGCACCCCGGACCGGGGCUGCCGAGCCGGGGGGUGAGGAAGAGGAUGGAGAUGGAGGGUCAGUGGGCGCGGGCAAGAGGGGCAAGAGGAGCAAGCAGCAGCCCUUCGGGGGCUCCGUGAGCUACCUCCGGUUUUUAAUUGAAUGUUCUUUAAUGCUUUUAUUUUUCUUUAAUUUCUGAGCAGCUUUUUUGGUAGAUUGGUUUUCUGUGCUUAGAGAUCUCUAAUUGGAUUGCGGUGUUUAUUUCAAAAAAUGUGUAAACAGAGAUGGUUUCUUUUGGCAAAAGGUUUCUUUGUUAUAAGAAAUGAGCAGAAGGGUGAACGUCAUGAGGUGUUUAAAGGGCUAAAUGUUCUGUGAAGGAAUCCUUUAAAUUUAUUUUUAUUUUCCUGAACGUGAUAGAUCUAGAAUUAAAUUGUGGCAGCAUUCUAAUUAUAACAGAUCACUUAAAUAAUUCUCAAUUGUGUAAAUUAGGUAAAUUGAAUUUUUCCCCUCUCUUCACUGAGAUGAUCUUAGCCUUUGAGUGAUUUCAAAAAUGAAAAAAAUUGUGGUCUUUUGUUUUGGAAUGAUAUCUGGUAGCUGAAUGAAUAUUAGAAAAUGUUGUUUUAAAAUGAAAAUAUGGAUUGGUGCAGUAGUUUAUUGUUUACAGAUUAGAAAAACAUUAAUAUGUCGCCGUCGGUGGCAUUAUUUUAAGGAACUCUAAAGUAGAAAUUUGCCAAAUUUUGAUUAUCUUAGAUUUAAUUUUCUUUUUUAUGCAAAUUUAAGAUAUUUCAUGCCUCAGGUAGUGUAAAUGUAUUAUAGAUAAAAUAGAUGCAUAUUGAUCUAUGUAUAUGAUUUGGGGAAGAUUUUUUCAUAGUACCAUCAAAUAUGGGCAUGAAGCUAAAUAUUGAAUAUUAAGUAUGAGCUAAAAAUGCAUUGUAGAAUAUGAAAAUUAUAUAUUUCUUCAUGCAGACCAUUAGAAUGUUGGUUGAAAUAAUGCAUUUAUACUACUUGGAGCAUGACAGUUGUCUAGAACACCUUGGAAGGGUGUGUUGCUAAUGUAUCUGGCGGCAUUUUCUUGAAAAAUGGAAAUGUUUCUAUUUUUACAAUGUACCAAAUUUCUUUCAGAUCUAAACCUGGAACUCGAGGCUAUUUCCCAAUUUGUUUGUGUGAUGGAAUAAUUUAGGUUAAACAAUACAAUAAUCUGUUUUUCAGAAUUCACUAAUUAGUGCAGUUUUUUGGUUCGUUGUUUGGCUUUUUUUUAUUUUGUUUUGUUUUGCUUUGUUUUGUUUUUUUGCAGGCCUAUAAAGAUUCAGUGGAAAAUGAUGGUCAAAGAGGGAAAAUUAUUAACCCAUAUAACAUGUGAUGACCCAUCAAAAAUGAUGACAUCAAAAAAUUAAGUGGUCUAAAAUUUUAUAUAUAUAUAUAUAUAUGUUUUUAUAGAUAAUUAUAUAUGAGGUCUUGCACAUGAAUUAGAAUGUAUAUGAAUCCCUUAACCUUGUCAUCAUAAUAUUACUUCCCCCAGACCCCUCCCCUCUCCUUUUCACACCCAAACUCUUAGAAAAAUCUAUAUAUUCCUUGACUUGAUGUCUCUGUUUCCAUUUAGAUCUUGCAGAAUGAUUUCCAGCCACUGACUGGACUCAAAUCAUUCUCUCCUAUUUUGUCAGUGAUGCCUUUUUUUUUUUUUAAUUUUAGUGAUUUUUUUUUAAUCUAAUAGUUUCUCAUUGCCUCCAAAGGAGCUAUCCUAUAUUACAAAACGUUUUUUAAAACAAAGCACUAGGAAGAGAAAGACACUCAAAAAUUAAUUAAUCCAUUGAAAAAAUUAAAAAUAUAUGCUAUAUCCCUCAGUCAUGGACCACCGCUCUUGCAUCUUUAAAAAAAAAAAAAAGAUGAGUAAUGCUUAUUUUUUGUAAUUUGGCAACAUGAUUUCUUUAUCACUAACUUUAGUGAUCUUUUUUCAGUCCUCAUCCUUCUUCAACUGAAACUGCUCUCUAGAAUUAUCAAGGAGUUCUUAAUUGCCAAAUUUCUCCCUCCUCCUUCCCUCCCUCCCCUCCCUCCCUUUCUUGAAUUCUCUGCAGCAUACAGCAUUCUUAACCAUCAUCUCUGCCUGGAUAUUACUUCCCUUUUCUGACACUGUAUUUUUCUGAUUCUCUUCCCACCUAUCUCAGUCUCCUUUACUAUAUCAUCAUUCCUGCUUUGGUCCUUAAUUUUGAGUUUUUCAUUUCUCUUUUUCUUCCCUGCUUUCUCUUAGAUAUCUCCUUUGGGUUCAAAAAAGACAUCUAUUGCCAAUGAUUCCCAAACCCAUAUUUCAUCCUUCCUUCCUUUUUUUCCCCUCACUAUCUUCUUAGCACUCUGUUGUACAUGAAAACUUGUACAAAAUGAAUUUUAUGAUUGUUUCUCUCUACCCCACCCAAUCCACCCCUCUUCAUUCAUUUUACUACCUUUAUAGCAAAUCCACAUGAAUCCUCAAGCAUUUGGAGCAGUUCAUAUUAUGGAAGACUUUGACUGACUGCCAUGGGUUCUGAAGUAUAUGAGUCAAGUUUCCCCAAACAAGGGUACAUCUACUUCUGGGUCUUCUAGACGUACCUUUAAGGGCUUAUAAAGGUGAUUCUUUAACGUUGUUGGAUAGAUCCCCCCAUCCCCAAAGUGUUUGCUACAGUAACAGUCGUGAGGCACGCUUAAUAUUUCCUUUAUACAAUAGCUAUUCUCUAAUGAGCAUAGCAUCUUAUUGUCAUUUAACUACUUAAUUCCAAAGCACUGAUCCUCAACGCCUUAUAGAACAUUCUCCUUUCUACCACUCAGUCCCUGAGAAGAAUGGAGUCAAACUUACUAUUACAUAUACUAUAUAUUUAUAUAUAAUACGAUAUAUUAGGAAUAUAAUAAUAUCACUGUUAUUGAUAUUGGGAGAUUAAAUGAGAUAGCAUUUGUCAAGGCCUUAACCCAGUGCCUGGCAAAUAGCAGUCACGUAAUAAGGGCUUGUUUCUUCUCCUUCCCCUUCAGCGUCAUGUUGUCACUCAUUGUAAGGCAUUUGUACCACCGAGUACUUCAUGAUGCAGCAUCAGCCUUGGUAGAAGCUGAUGCCCCCUCCUUAAGUGGACUAGUCUAUGGCCUCAAAAGCCUCCAUUCUGGCCUUCCAAGCCCAGGAUGGUCAUUCUCAGACACAGCUCAUGAGCUUCCUGGCUCUUGGGACUGGUUAGACUUAACAAAUGAGCUUGUAGCUAUCUCCUGUGCUCUUGCACCUAAGGCAAUGACUAACAGAUAACAAAAGACAAUAGAAGGAGCCGUGGGACCAUCUGUUCAUUAGCCAGGGGGCAGGUGGUGAAGAUAAGGGGCCUACAACUGUAGAUCUUGCCUCGUUCUAGCACCUCGGGGAGCAAAGGCACAAGCCUGGUAAGUGUCAUUGCAAUACACCACAGUUCAUUCAACUUCACGCCGGUCUUGUCACCAUGUCCUGAGUGGACUAGCACUAGAUGUGCAUACUCCAGAGAUCACACCAGCUGCAGCAUCUCUCAUACUUACAGGAGAUUGCAAAAGAGUAUUGAAAAUGUUUUGAAUGGUGUUUGCGUCAGUAAGAUAAAAGCACACUCCAACACACACACACACACACACACACACACACACACACACACUAAUUUGGAAAGGACUGUAUGUUUGGACACAGAAAAUUCUGUUAAAGGAAGGGAUAGUCUGUGUUACGGGGACUGCUCCAUUCAGAAUAAGGAGGACAGUUUGACUUAGAGUGGAUGAAGGCAACUAAUGCAGAAACAGUGCUUGAAAGACAGCUUGGGAAAAGAGGGAAAAGGUGCUAUUCAUGUGGGAGGAGUGUUUAUUGGUUGUGUGUGUGCGCGCACACGCACGCCAGUGUGCCAGAAGCAGCAAGAAGUAAUUGGGAGCUUUGUGAGCUAGGGUCUUGACUUGGUCAGACCUGAGCUUCAGGAAUACAAUUUGGCUGCUAUUAUGUGGAGUGGGAUGAGAGGCGCUAGAGGCAGAGAGACAUGCUAAUAGCCAAUAAGCAUGUAAUAAUUGCCUACUAUGUGCCAUGUGUGGCGCUAAUAAGCACUCAGGAUAUAAAGAUCACUGUAUUCAAGGAGCACAGGAUCUAAUCAGAGAGCCCAGUCAGAUAACUGUGGACAAAAAAAAAGAAGGAUAUGAAAUUAAGAGGAGAUAAUCAACAGAUGGGAAACCUUAGCAUCAUGAGGGGAUUAAGAAGGGCUUCCAGGACUUUUAAGGAAACUAGGGAGCAGAGCUGAGAAGGGAGAAUACCCCAGGCAUGUGGGAACAGCCUGAGAAAACUCCUGGGGAGUCAGAUGAUAACCUGUCUUGUUAAAAGAACAGUGAUGAACUCUGAAUUGAAGAGUUGGGGGGGAGGCAAAAAAGGUUCCUCUGAAGUGAAUAGAGAUUAGAAAGGGGAGAGCUGGAAUAUGCAGGACUUCGAAUGCCUCAGAGAAACAGCACGUGAUAGGGAGUGGUCGGCAUUUAUUAGAUCUGAGGUUGGUGUGGUUGGAUCUGCACUUCAGGAAAAUCCCUUUGGCAGUGAACAGAGAGGAUGGACUGAUGGUUUGCAGCAAGACUUGUGGUAGGCAAUGGACAAAGCGGCAGACUAUGGGGAUAGUGGUAGCUCUCAAGAGAGAAGAGAUGUUAAAAAGGCAGCACCAUUAACUAGGUGUUAUUCAUUUUAACUAGGGCAUAUGACCCUGUGAGUAGAAGAAAAGGAGCCGUGUGUGAGAUAGAUAUACAUGACUGGAUUUAGAUAAGUGUGAGAUGCACUGUACAUAUAUACAUACAUACAUACAUACAUACAUACACACACCUUUUAUUCAUUGUUUUACUGGUCCAUUUUUAAAAAAAUGUUUUCACUGAUCCCUUUUGUAUGAACCUUGUAAUACUCAUUUAAGUGCAUUUUAGAAAUCUAAGAUAUUUUUAAAGGCAAUUGCAAAACAUCUUUAGAUCUCGUGGUUAGCAACAAGAUGAUGCAUAAUACCAUGUGAAACCUCUAAGAAUAGUAUUUUAAAAGAUCUAGGAUAUUCAGCUGCUUAGUUGUGGGAGUUGAGUGAACACUAUAAGCUCUAUUUUCUCAGACUUCAUCAGUUAAGUCUCAUGAAAGGGAGGGCUUUGGUCAGUGAAAGUUACUAGGUGAAUGACAUGAUACACCAUUUGCAAAAGGAAAUCUUUUGCUACAGGUGCUCAUUUUCCUAAGGACAUUGACAUUGCUUUCCUUCUAGAAGUAGAAAGGAAAGGAUAUCCUUUGUUUUUUUUAAUUUAAAGAAAAAAAAAAACCUUACUCAUCUGUGUUAUUUACUUUUGUCAAUUUUUAUGAAAGCAAUCACAAAUCAUAUUACAAGAAUAUAUCCAGAAUUGAAUACAAAAGAUGUGGGUAUGUAUUGUCCUCUUACAACAUCUAAGGGAGACUUUUUUCUUCUUAAUUUCUUGCCCCCACAAAUAUCUUUUGUUUAUAAAGAAAGAUUCUUUUGGUUUGAAAAAUCUAACAUGAAAAAUCUUGAUGACUUUUUUUAUUUUGCCCAUA